Molecule: microRNA precursor, 77 nt
Filed under: Procavia capensis (Cape rock hyrax)
Lineage: Eukaryota; Metazoa; Chordata; Mammalia; Hyracoidea; Procaviidae
Source: RNAcentral
ACCUGAAAAGAUGGUUGACCAUAGAACAUGCGCUGUCUCUGUGUCGUAUGUAAUAUGGUCCACGUCUUCUCAAUAUC